Molecule: long non-coding RNA, 296 nt
Filed under: Pelobates cultripes (western spadefoot toad)
Lineage: Eukaryota; Metazoa; Chordata; Amphibia; Anura; Pelobatidae
Source: RNAcentral
CUACAUCCAAUUGACCCACUAGUCACCCCUAAAUGCCCCUAAGCCCCCCACAUUACCUAUUUUUAAAUCCUUAUUUUCUGCCCCGAUCUAUAUUCAGGGCGCAGCCAUCUUUGUGUGGGUAGGUGAAGUCCCUCAGGGACACGUCAUCAGCCCACACUAGGCAGACACUGAGAUUCCCGCACAUGCCCAGUGAAACACCUGGACAUGCGAACGGGAAUUUCAUCUAUUCAUUCAUCAGACAGACGAAUGAGUGAAUAGAAAGAUCAGCCGAACAAACAAACACAAUGUAUCAGUGU